AUUGAACGCUGGCGGCAGGCCUAACACAUGCCAGUCGAACGGUAACAGGAAGAAGCUUGCUUCUUUGCUGACGAGUGGCGGACGGGUGAGUAAUGUCUGGGAAACUGCCUGAUGGAGGGGGAUAACUACUGGAAACGGUAGCUAAUACCGCAUAACGUCGCAAGACCAAAGAGGGGGACCUUCGGGCCUCUUGCCAUCGGAUGUGCCCAGAUGGGAUUAGCUAGUAGGUGGGGUAACGGCUCACCUAGGCGACGAUCCCUAGCUGGUCUGAGAGGAUGACCAGCCACACUGGAACUGAGACACGGUCCAGACUCCUACGGGAGGCAGCAGUGGGGAAUAUUGCACAAUGGGCGCAAGCCUGAUGCAGCCAUGCCGCGUGUAUGAAGAAGGCCUUCGGGUUGUAAAGUACUUUCAGCGGGGAGGAAGGGAGUAAAGUUAAUACCUUUGCUCAUUGACGUUACCCGCAGAAGAAGCGCCGGCUAACUCCGU
RNAcentral lists this ribosomal RNA (489 nucleotides) under uncultured bacterium. RNAcentral's name for it is "partial 16S ribosomal RNA". It matches the Rfam family "Bacterial small subunit ribosomal RNA", at positions 30 to 506 of the family's 1533-position model. The record is from RNAcentral.